This 253-nucleotide ribosomal RNA is filed under the name uncultured bacterium. RNAcentral's name for it is "partial 16S ribosomal RNA". It matches the Rfam family "Bacterial small subunit ribosomal RNA", at positions 524 to 776 of the family's 1533-position model. The record is from RNAcentral.
UACGUAGGGUGCAAGCGUUGUCCGGAAUUAUUGGGCGUAAAGAGCUCGUAGGCGGUUUGUCGCGUCGACUGUGAAAACCCGAGGCUUAACCUCGGGCCUGCAGUCGAUACGGGCAGACUAGAGUUCGGUAGGGGAGACUGGAAUUCCUGGUGUAGCGGUGAAAUGCGCAGAUAUCGGGAGGAACACCUGUGGCGAAGGCGGCUUUCUGGGCCUUACCUGACGCUGAGACGCGAAAGCGUGGGGAGCGAACCGG